UAGAAUAUGGUGUAUAGGUAGCACGAAGAAUUUUGAAUUCUUAGGUACAGGUUCAAUUCCUACUAUUCUAG
Molecule: transfer RNA, 71 nt
Filed under: Stenocephalemys albipes (White-footed Stenocephalemys)
Lineage: Eukaryota; Metazoa; Chordata; Mammalia; Rodentia; Muridae
Description: tRNA-Gln
Rfam family: tRNA
About the family: Transfer RNA (tRNA) molecules are approximately 80 nucleotides in length. Their secondary structure includes four short double-helical elements and three loops (D, anti-codon, and T loops).
Source: RNAcentral